RNAcentral lists this transfer RNA (105 nucleotides) under Armillaria solidipes. RNAcentral describes it as "tRNA-Ala". Lineage: Eukaryota; Fungi; Basidiomycota; Agaricomycetes; Agaricales; Physalacriaceae. The record is from RNAcentral.
GGGCACAUGGUGUAGAUGGUUUAUCACGCCCGCUUAGCAUCGUCUGAUAGGUUACAAACUUACAUGCAUUGCGGGAGGUGUUGGAUUCAAGUCCCAAUGUGUCCA